UGUGUAGGCGGUUCUUUAAGUUUGGUGUGAAAUCUCCCGGCUCAACCGGGAGGGUGCGCCGAAUACUGAGGGACUAGAGUGUGGGAGAGGAAAGUGGAAUUCCUGGUGUAGCGGUGAAAUGCGUAGAUAUCAGGAGGAACACCGGUGGUGUAGACGGCUUUCUGGACCAUAACUGACGCUGAGACACGAAAGCGUGGGUAGCAAACAGGAUUAGAUACCCUGGUAGUCCACGCCCUAAACGAUGCAUAUUUGGUGUGGGUCAUUCAGUUGAUCCGCGCCGGAGCUAACGCGUUAAAUAUGCCGCCUGGGGGAGUACAGUCGCAAGGCUGAA
RNAcentral lists this ribosomal RNA (331 nucleotides) under uncultured bacterium. RNAcentral's name for it is "bacterial SSU rRNA". It matches the Rfam family "Bacterial small subunit ribosomal RNA", at positions 568 to 898 of the family's 1533-position model. The record is from RNAcentral.